Molecule: ribosomal RNA, 580 nt
Filed under: uncultured bacterium
Lineage: Bacteria
Description: bacterial SSU rRNA
Rfam family: Bacterial small subunit ribosomal RNA
Source: RNAcentral
GCUUAACACAUGCAAGUCGAACGAAGUGGCAAACGGGUGAGUAACACGUAAACAACCUGCCUUCAGGAUGGGGACAACAGACGGAAACGACUGCUAAUACCGAAUACCUGAAGAGGGGUUUGCGUCUGAUUAGGUAGUUGGUGAGGUAACGGCCCACCAAGCCGACGAUCAGUAGCCGGUCUGAGAGGAUGAACGGCCACACUGGAACUGAGACACGGUCCAGACUCCUACGGGAGGCAGCAGUGGGGAAUCUUUUGCUUUGGGCGAAAGCCUGACGGAGCAACGCCGCGUGAGUGAUGACGGCCUUCGGGUUGUAAAGCUCUGUGAUCGGGGACGCGGUACCCGAAUAGCAAGCCACGGCUAACUACGUGCCAGCAGCCGCGGUAAUACGUAGGUGGCAAGCGUUGUCCGGAAUUAUUGGGCGUAAAGCGCGCGCAGGCGGUUCUUAAGUCCAUCUUAAAAGUGCGGGGCUUAACCCCGUGAUGGGAUGGAAACUGAGAGCUGGAGUAUCGGAGAGGAAAGUGGAAUUCCUAGUGUAGCGGUGAAAUGCGUAGAGAUUAGGAAGAACACCGGUGGCGAA